GCGAGCCCAGAUCAGGAGGGAUUGCCCAGAUCAGGAGGGAUUACCCGCUGAGUUUA
RNAcentral lists this ribosomal RNA (56 nucleotides) under Capsicum frutescens (tabasco pepper). RNAcentral's name for it is "partial 28S ribosomal RNA". The record is from RNAcentral. Lineage: Eukaryota; Viridiplantae; Streptophyta; Magnoliopsida; Solanales; Solanaceae.